Setaria italica (foxtail millet) is the source of this 2690-nucleotide RNA transcript. It is a transcript of the gene named heparan-alpha-glucosaminide N-acetyltransferase, with no coding region annotated. The transcript has 7 exons. The record is from RefSeq and is a predicted model, not a curated record. Lineage: Eukaryota; Viridiplantae; Streptophyta; Magnoliopsida; Poales; Poaceae.
GAAACAAAACGCCUCCGUUAACCUCCCCGCCUCCGCUAACCUCCCUGCGCCACCGGUUCCGCCCCUCCUCGCCUCGUCUUCCUCCUCCUCGCCUUCCUCCUCGCGCGCGCCGCCGAGGCCGGCGGCGGCGGCAGCGGCAGCAGGUACCCAGACCCUAGCUGCUUUUCUCCCUCUCCCAUUCACCCGCCGCCAUCCGCGCUCUCAUCCCCUCGCUCGUCUCCCCCAAAUCGCCGCACACGGCGCGCUGGUUCCUCCCUCAGCCAACCGCCGCCCCUCCACCUGCAGCCUCCCGCCGCCCCUCCACCAGUCCACCCGCAGCACUCCUCCGCCCUUCCACCUGCAGGGGCGCGCCGCCCCCGAUCUACAAGCACGCGCCGCGCGACCUGCCUGCGUGCUUGUGCAAUCUGCCGAAGGACGUGCAGGCACACGCAGCCCCUGACCUGCUGGCGGGCUGAAGCCGUCCGCUAACCGGACAUGUGCGCGCCGCCCCGAUCUGCAGGCUACAGGCAUGGCUCCGCCCCCGCGCCGCCGCGCGUCCACCCCGACGGCCCCGACCUCCAUGCCGCUGGACCCGCGCCUGCAGCCCUCCAGCUCCAGUGGCGUCCACCCCGCGGGCCCUGCCUGUCUCCGUCGGAUGACCGCCCACGUCCGACUGCCGGUCCCAAGCUCACAGAUAAGGCCCCAAAUCCAAUCCCCCCAAAUCUUCUUCUGUUGCUGCCCCGUUCUUGGGGUUAAAUUUUGUUAGAAUUGAUUGAAGUGAAACUGCCAUUACAUGUAAAUGUGCCUUUCGAUCUCAUUGUAAUGGUCCAAUAUCUUAGUGCAUGUUUAAUUAAAAUGGCAGAAUAUGAAGUGCUUGUGUGACACCUGUUUUGUGCUUGUGAGAGGUGCAAGAUAACUUGCACUGAUUGUUAUUUUUUUGUUUGUGUUAGAAAACUGCAUCAUAGUGCUUACAUAUAUUACUUCUGAUUAUCUUCAGUUAAGCAAAGAUAGUUAUUUAUGUGCCACUCUUUCAGAAGAAACUAGUUCUCCAUUUUUUUUUCUGUAUUGUCUGGUAGAUAUAUGAAAAUUGCUGAGAAACUACAAGUGAGCCUUCUGUAUAUGGCUUUUGUAAUCAAUUUUGAAUCCAUCAUCCAUCUCCUAGGCUAAGUAACUCAACUGUUUUCAGAACUUGCUCUAAAAAACUUGUGUUAUGUGAACGCAAUAGCUAUAUGGAUCUAGAAUUUAUCAUCCAUCAGCCAUGCACAGACACGCUUUCUUAUCUGCCUUAAGUACGAGAUGGUUUUCCGUCCUAAUCCUAGACUGUAGUAGACUCGACAAUAUGGACCUUAAUUCUUAAAAGAGUAUAUCAGUAGCAUGUGCUGACUGGAGGCUUGUGGAUGCUGAAAAGAAAUAUGAAGUGUGGACCAACAUAAAGGUAAUGCGAUGUACCAUUUUCCUUUCUUAUGCAUGGUAAUUGGGAAUUUAUACAGCAAAUAUGUUUGUAACAGAGAUGAGAUAAUACGGAGAUGAAAGAAAAAGCUGAAAAUUGCAUUAUCUUUAUAUCUGAAUGCAGACAUGAUACUGGUGGAUGAUGGCGAUGGAGCUUAUGAGCGGAUUGACCACUCACCGUGGAACGGGUGCACUCUGGCAGACUUUGUCAUGCCGUUCUUCCUCUUCAUAGUUGGUGUCGCAAUCGCCUUCGCAUUGAAGAGAGAACUGAUUAUCAGGUGAGCAUGAUUACAGAGAGUUCCCAAUAUCAAUAUCGGUGCUGCUGUGACGAAGAUUGCCCUCAGAACACUGAAAAUGCUCUUCUGGGGUGUGCUUCUCCAAGGACUGCACAUUCAGCUCACCGAACAUGCAAUAUAUUAUAUUAGCUAAACAUUGAUCAUUUUGUAUGGCUAGAAUUACAAAGUCUGUACUUAAAAUUACCUUGAUCACGACUGCACAUUCAGCUCACCGAACAUGGGUCCGUUGCGAGCUGAUGCACCAGCGUGGUGCCUUGCGCCUUUUGAACCAGAAGGCUUGUUAAGCUCAAUAUCGUCAAUACUAUCAGGGACAAUCGGGAUACAUUAUGGCCAUGUUCUAAUCCAUUUCAAGACUCACAAGGGGAGACUGAAGCACUGGCUUCUGAUGGGCUUUUCACUCCUUGUGCUCGGCAUUCUCCUACACUUCACGAAGGCCAUCCCAAUCAACAAGCAGCUCUACAGCUUCAGUUAUGUCUGCUUUACUGGCGGGGCGGCAGGAAUCGUUCUCUCAGCUUUCUAUAUACUAGUCCAUUGGAUCGUGAAGCAUGUGUUUGUGGCACUCACAAAAGAGAGAGUUCCGAAUAUCGAUCAUCAGGUAGAAAGCUAAGCCGAUUACAGUGUUGAACUGCUGAUGGAUGCCAACAUGAGCUAUGUUUAGUAUGGUGUGUAAUGUAGUAUCUAGCUAGUGUGAUAGCAUUUAAUGUGACAUUCUGGACUUGCACCUGUAUGAAACAAUGCCAUUGUGAUAUCGGGCCUGUUCGCUUCAGCUUAUAAGCCGGCUGAAAAGCUAAAACGGCUGAUUUGUUGUGAGAGGAAAAUACUGUUUGAUGGCUGAUAAGCCAACUGAAUAAGCUGAAGCGAACAGGCCGAUCUUUCUAGUGAUGUUUGAUGAAGCUAUCUAACUGAUGUUGUUAUGUGUCUACAUGAAUGAAUGAAAGCUUUUAUAGCUAACGUGGUCAUUUGCUU